RNAcentral lists this ribosomal RNA (389 nucleotides) under uncultured bacterium. RNAcentral describes it as "bacterial SSU rRNA". It matches the Rfam family "Bacterial small subunit ribosomal RNA", at positions 28 to 414 of the family's 1533-position model. The record is from RNAcentral.
GACGAACGCUGGCGGCGUGCUUAACACAUGCAAGUCGAACGGAAAGGCCCUGCUUUUGUGGGGUGCUCGAGUGGCGAACGGUGAGUAAACACGUGAGUAACCUGCCCUUGACUUUGGGAUAACUUCAGGAAACUGGGGCUAAAUACCGGAUAGGAGCUCCUGCUGCAUGGUGGGGGUUGGAAAGUUUCGGCGGUUGGGGAUGGACUCGCGGCUUAUCAGCUUGUUGGUGGGGUAGUGGCUUACCAAGGCUUUGACGGGUAGCCGGCCUGAGAGGGUGACCGGCCACAUUGGGACUGAGAUACGGCCCAGACUCCUACGGGAGGCAGCAGUGGGGAAUAUUGCACAAUGGGCGGAAGCCUGAUGCAGCAACGCCGCGUGCGGGAUGACGG